UCGAGAGGCUUCGGCAAUGGGGGAAACCCUGACCGAGCGACGCCGCGUGGGUGAUGAAGAUUCUCGGAUCGUAAAACCCUGUCAGGUGGGAUGAAAAACCAUUCGGUUAAUACCCGAGUGGCUUGACAGUACCACCAGAGGAAGCUCCGGCCAACUCCGUGCCAGCAGCCGCGGUAACACGGGGGGAGCAAGCGUUGUUCGGAUUCAUUGGGCGUAAAGAGCUCGUAGGCCGCUCUGUAAGUCGGAAGUGAAAGACCACGGCUCAACCGUGGAAACGCUUUCGAAACUGUGGAGCUUGAGGCCGGGAGAGGAGAUCGGAAUUCCUGGUGUAGCGGUGAAAUGCGUAGAUAUCUGGAGGAACACCGGUGGCGAAGGCGGCAUCCUGGACCGGUAUUGACGCUGAGUGAGCGAAAGCCAGGGGAGCAAACGGGAUUAGAUACCCCAGUAGUCCCUGAGCGGGCUGGCAAGGCGCAU
Molecule: ribosomal RNA, 474 nt
Filed under: uncultured bacterium
Lineage: Bacteria
Description: bacterial SSU rRNA
Rfam family: Bacterial small subunit ribosomal RNA
Source: RNAcentral